CUCUAAGGAGACUGCCGGUGACAAACCGGAGGAAGGUGGGGAUGACGUCAAGUCAUCAUGGCCCUUACGGCCAGGGCUACACACGUGCUACAAUGGUCGGUACAAAGGGUUGCCAAGCCGCGAGGUGGAGCUAAUCCCAUAAAACCGAUCGUAGUCCGGAUCGCAGUCUGCAACUCGACUGCGUGAAGUCGGAAUCGCUAGUAAUCGUGAAUCAGAAUGUCACGGUGAAUACGUUCCCGGGCCUUGUACACACCGCCCGUCACACCAUGGGAGUGGGUUGCUCCAGAAGUAGCUAGUCUAACCGCAAGGGGGACGGUUACCACGGAGUGAUUCAUGACUGGGGUGAAGUCGUAACAAGGUAGCCGUAGGGGAACCUGCGGCUGGAUCACCUCCUUAA
Molecule: ribosomal RNA, 397 nt
Filed under: Pseudomonas aeruginosa
Lineage: Bacteria; Pseudomonadati; Pseudomonadota; Gammaproteobacteria; Pseudomonadales; Pseudomonadaceae
Description: bacterial SSU rRNA
Rfam family: Bacterial small subunit ribosomal RNA
Source: RNAcentral